CUGAGCGGCGGACGGGUGAGUAACGCGUGGUAACCUACCUCAUACAGGGGGAUAACAGUUGGAAACGGCUGCUAAUACCGCAUAAGCGCACAGUACCGCAUGGUACCGUGUGAAAAACUCCGGUGGUAUGAGAUGGACCCGCGUCUGAUUAGCUAGUUGGUGGGGUAACGGCCUACCAAGGCGACGAUCAGUAGCCGACCUGAGAGGGUGACCGGCCACAUUGGGACUGAGACACGGCCCAA
Molecule: ribosomal RNA, 242 nt
Filed under: uncultured bacterium
Lineage: Bacteria
Description: partial 16S ribosomal RNA
Rfam family: Bacterial small subunit ribosomal RNA
Source: RNAcentral